GACGAACGCUGGCGGCGUGCUUAACACAUGCAAGUCGAACGGAAAGGCCCUGCUUUUGUGGGGUGCUCGAGUGGCGAACGGGUGAGUAACACGUGAGUAACCUGCCCUUGACUUUGUGAUAACUUCAGGAAACUGGGGCUAAUACCGGAUAGGAGCUCCUGCUGCAUGGUGGGGGUUGGAAAGUUUCGGCGGUUGGGGAUGGACUCGCGGCUUAUCAGCUUGUUGGUGGGGUAGUGGCUUACCAAGGCUUUGACGGGUAGCCGGCAUGGGAGGGGGGACGGCGACAUUGGGACUGAGAUACGGACCAGACUCCUACGGGAGGCAGCAGGGGGGAAUAUUGCACAAUGGGCGGAAGCCUGAUGCAGCAACGCCGCGUGCGGGAUGACGGCCUUCGGGUUGUAAACCGCUUUCGCCUGUGACGAAGCGUGAGUGACGGUAAUGGGUAAAGAAGCACCGGCUAACUACGUG
RNAcentral lists this ribosomal RNA (468 nucleotides) under uncultured bacterium. RNAcentral's name for it is "partial 16S ribosomal RNA". It matches the Rfam family "Bacterial small subunit ribosomal RNA", at positions 28 to 507 of the family's 1533-position model. The record is from RNAcentral.